GGAAAUACGGAUAGGGAUCAGGGAUUGGUCUUUGGAAGGUGGAUUUGUAAGUAAUUAUUUUUAUAGAAUUAAUAAGUGAAGGGUGGAAUAACAUGUGUACAUAUUGCCCGUCGCUCUCGUUAUUUUUGAGAUAAGUCGUAACAUAGUUGAUGAACUGGAAAGUGUAUCUUUUUGA
This 175-nucleotide ribosomal RNA is filed under the name Brachoria plecta. Its description in RNAcentral is "partial small subunit ribosomal RNA gene". The record is from RNAcentral. Lineage: Eukaryota; Metazoa; Arthropoda; Diplopoda; Polydesmida; Xystodesmidae.